GAAGGGGGCUAGCGUUGCUCGGAAUCACUGGGCGUAAAGGGUGCGUAGGCGGGUCUUUAAGUCAGGGGUGAAAUCCUGGAGCUCAACUCCAGAACUGCCUUUGAUACUGAAGAUCUUGAGUUCGGGAGAGGUGAGUGGAACUGCGAGUGUAGAGGUGAAAUUCGUAGAUAUUCGCAAGAACACCAGUGGCGAAGGCGGCUCACUGGCCCGAUACUGACGCUGAGGCACGAAAGCGUGGGGGGAGCAAACAGGAUUAGAUACCCUGGUAGUCCACGCCGUAAACGAUGAAUGCCCAGCCGUUAGUGGGUUUACUCACUAGUGGCGCAGCUAACGCUUUAAGCAUUCCGCCUGGGAGUACGGUCGCAAGAUUA
RNAcentral lists this ribosomal RNA (371 nucleotides) under uncultured organism. RNAcentral describes it as "partial 16S ribosomal RNA". It matches the Rfam family "Bacterial small subunit ribosomal RNA", at positions 527 to 896 of the family's 1533-position model. The record is from RNAcentral.